UAGGCUUGAAUGUGCGUACCUC
This 22-nucleotide non-coding RNA is filed under the name Arabidopsis thaliana (thale cress). The record is from RNAcentral. Lineage: Eukaryota; Viridiplantae; Streptophyta; Magnoliopsida; Brassicales; Brassicaceae.